CAGUAGCCGCGGGAACACGAAGGGUGCAAGCGUUACUCGGAAUUACUGGGCGUAAAGCGUGCGUAGGUGGUGGUUUAAGUCCGUUGUGAAAGCCCUGGGCUCAACCUGGGAAUUGCAGUGGAUACUGGGUCACUAGAGUGUGGUAGAGGAUAGUGGAAUUUCCGGUGUAGCAGUGAAAUGCGUAGAGAUCGGAAGGAACAUCUGUGGCGAAGGCGACUAUCUGGGCCAACACUGACACUGAGGCACGAAAGCGUGGGGAGCAAACAGGAUUAGAUACCCCUGUAGUCCCUGUCUCUUAUAA
This 301-nucleotide ribosomal RNA is filed under the name uncultured bacterium. Its description in RNAcentral is "partial 16S ribosomal RNA". It matches the Rfam family "Bacterial small subunit ribosomal RNA", at positions 509 to 809 of the family's 1533-position model. The record is from RNAcentral.